UGGGGAAUAUUGGACAAUGGGCGAAAGCCUGAUCCAGCCAUGCCGCGUGUGUGAAGAAGGUCUUCGGAUUGUAAAGCACUUUAAGUUGGGAGGAAGGGCAGUAAAUUAAUACUUUGCAGUUUUGACGUUACCGACAGAAUAAGCACCGGCUAACUCUGUGCCAGCAGCCGCGGUAAUACAGAGGGUGCAAGCGUUAAUCGGAAUUACUGGGCGUAAAGCGCGCGUAGGUGGUUCGUUAAGUUGGAUGUGAAAGCCCCGGGCUCAACCGUGGAACUGCAUUCAAAACUGACGAGCUAGAGUAUGGUAGAGGGUGGUGGAAUUGCCUGUGUAGCGGUGAAAUUCGUAGAUAUAGGAAGGAACACCAGUGGCGAAGGCGACCACCUGGAUUGAUACUGACACUGAGGUGCGAAAGCGUGGGGAGCAAACA
This 427-nucleotide ribosomal RNA is filed under the name uncultured bacterium. RNAcentral's name for it is "partial 16S ribosomal RNA". It matches the Rfam family "Bacterial small subunit ribosomal RNA", at positions 355 to 774 of the family's 1533-position model. The record is from RNAcentral.